RNAcentral lists this long non-coding RNA (306 nucleotides) under Salvia miltiorrhiza (redroot sage). RNAcentral's name for it is "long non-coding RNA (SMIL_LNC011388)". Lineage: Eukaryota; Viridiplantae; Streptophyta; Magnoliopsida; Lamiales; Lamiaceae. The record is from RNAcentral.
AGGACAUGCUACUGUACAGAACUUGAGAUCUAAUGUAUCAUGUGUUCCACUUUUAUUUUUUUAUAUUUUUUGCAUAUUUUUUCUUUCAUUUUUUAUUUUGUACUGAUGUAAUUUAAUUUUAUACUAAUUACUAAGUAGAAUUUGUUUCAUUCAAUUAAGGUAUAUUUAUUAAUAUUUAAUUUCAGUUUAAAAUUAUUAUUAGGAUGGAUAAAUCUAAAGUCGGGGUUGUAAAUAAAAGUUAAAUAUAAUUCACAUAAUAUUACAAUAAAUUUUAUUUUCAUAAAAAAUAUUAUUAAAAUAAUAAAU